UCGAGAAUUUUUCGCAAUGGGGGAAACCCUGACGGAGCGACGCCGCGUGGAGGAUGAAGGUCUUCGGAUUGUAAACUCCUGUCAUUGGUGAACAAGACGUUCGCGUUAACUGCGCGGACGGUUGCUAGUAGCCGAAGAGGAAGGGACGGCUAACUCUGUGCCAGCAGCCGCGGUAAUACAGAGGUCCCGAGCGUUGUUCGGAUUCAUUGGGCGUAAAGGGUGCGUAGGCGGUCUGCUAAGUUUGAUGUGAAAUCCCGGGGCUCAACCCUGGCAUGGCAUUGAAUACUGGUGGACUAGAGUACUGGAGAGGAAACUGGAAUUUACGGUGUAGCAGUGAAAUGCGUAGAGAUCGUAAGGAAGACCAGUGGCGAAGGCGAGUUUCUGGACAGUAACUGACGCUGAGGCACGAAGGCCAGGGGAGCAAACGGGAUUAGAUACCCCCGUAGUCC
This 449-nucleotide ribosomal RNA is filed under the name uncultured bacterium. RNAcentral describes it as "bacterial SSU rRNA". It matches the Rfam family "Bacterial small subunit ribosomal RNA", at positions 355 to 796 of the family's 1533-position model. The record is from RNAcentral.